Brachypodium distachyon (stiff brome) is the source of this 593-nucleotide long non-coding RNA. RefSeq lists it as uncharacterized. NCBI's taxonomy places the organism in Eukaryota, Viridiplantae, Streptophyta, Magnoliopsida, Poales, Poaceae. The record is from RefSeq and is a predicted model, not a curated record. The transcript has 3 exons.
GAUGUUCAGUACUCCGCCACCAGACCCCACACAGGAGGAUACACAGUAUCGUGAGGAUGGGUCCGUGAUUCCUCCGCGCAACGUUGUGCCACCUCAUAGGUAUGGCUGGACCACGCCACAGGCACCCCCGGAAAGUCGUCCCAGACGCCAUGCCUGAUAUUUGCAUAUAUCUUCAUCGGACGAUGAUGUACUCUUCCCCUUGGACGAUGAUGUGCUCUUUCGCUCCGACGGUGCAGUACUUUUCUCCUUGGACGAUGAAGAACUCUUACCCGUUUUGCUUGGCAUGAAGAUAUCUUCAUCGGAUUCCUCCUCUUCAACCCAUAACAAUGGAUGUUUUCUAGCCCAUUAAGUCCUCAAUGGGAAAUUGCACCUAUAUAAUUGGUGGCCCAACUCAGUUAGUAGAGUGCCACUACUAAUGAGUUCGUCCCAUGGAACUAUCCUAUUGUCUACCUUGAAAUCACCGGCUAACCACAAUAGCUCACGGGACAUACCUGACCAAAAUCUACGAUCAUCUGGGAAGCCGGACGACAUCUUCCCAGACGAAAUAGUGAGACUACACUUCAAUACCAUGGACGGUCUUUUAUAGCUACAGA